ACCUGGUUGAUCCUGCCAGUAGUGAUACGCUCGUACUAAGGAUUAAGCCAUGCAUGUCCAAGUAUAAAUUUUGAUAUAGUGAGACUGCGAACGGCUCAAUAGGCUCAGUUAUAGUUUAUUUGAUAAUGGCGUUUUCGGACGAUUUUUAAUUGGAUAACCGUAGAAAAUCUAGAGCUAAUACAUGCGAAUUUAAAGGGGAACUUUUUUGAGGAACCUCUGUAUUUAUUAGAAUAAAGAAAACCAAACUAGGUAGCAAUAUCUAGUCAAAAACAAAAACGUGAAUGAUAAUAACUUGUGAGAUUGGAAAGCGUUGAUUGUGUAGUAGCAAUAUUGCAUAGUCGACAUCACUUUUCAGUUUCCUUGGCGAAUCGAAUUUAGGUUGAAAAAAACCUUCGAUGAUUGAUUCAAAUUUCUGCUCUAUCAACUUUUUCGCAGUGUAGUGGACUGCGAAGGUUAUGACGGGUUCAGGGAGUAAGGGCUCGACUCUGGAGAGGGCGCCUUAGAGAUGGCGACCACUUCUAAGGAAGGCAGCAGGCACGUAACUUACCCAAUGUUCACAUUGAACGAGGUAGUGACGGUAAAUAUAAAUACAGAUCACCUUAAAUGGAGAUUUGUAAUUUAAAUGAGUACAAUUUAAAAAGCUUAACAAGGAUCAAUUGGAGGGCAAGUCUGGUGCCAGCAGCCGCGGUAAUUCCAGCUCCAAUAGCGUAUAUUAUAGUUGUUGCAGUUAAAAAGUUCGUAGUUGGAUUUUAAGAGUGAAAUAAAACUGAAGGGUUUCAAUAGGAAAAUCUUAUUGGUGAUUCCUUCAUUCACUCUACAAAAUUUGUUUGGAAAUAAUGAGGUAGGAAGAUCGUAAAAAGUCUUUCUAUCAAUUUAAAUCAUUAUUUCCCUUUUACUUUGAGGAAAUUUGAGUGUUCAAAGCAGGCAACAUUAGUUUUGCCAAUUUUUGAAAAUCACAGCAUGGUAUAAUAAAAUAUGUUCUGGAAUUCUAGAUCCAACGCACUUUUUGGUUUUGACUAGUUUUCUGAAAAUGAUAAAUAGAGAUAGUUGGGGGUAUUCAUAUUCGAUUGUCAGAGGUGAAAUUCUUGGAUUUUUCGAAGAUGAACUAAUGCGAAAGCAUUUAUCAAGGAUGUUUUCAUUGAUCAAGAACGAAAGUUAAGGGAUCGAAGACGAUCAGAUACCGUUGUAGUCUUAACUAUAAACGAUGCCGACCAAAGAUCAGCAGUUAUAAAACUAAUAAAAUGGAGCUAAAUCACUUUUCAAUAGCAAUAUUGAUUUAAGUGUAAUGCCCCUGCUGGAAUUUUUUGAGAAAUCAUUGAGUCUUCUGGUUCUGGGGGGAG
Molecule: ribosomal RNA, 1340 nt
Filed under: uncultured soil eukaryote
Lineage: Eukaryota
Description: SSU rRNA
Rfam family: Eukaryotic small subunit ribosomal RNA
Source: RNAcentral